This 447-nucleotide ribosomal RNA is filed under the name uncultured bacterium. RNAcentral's name for it is "partial 16S ribosomal RNA". It matches the Rfam family "Bacterial small subunit ribosomal RNA", at positions 29 to 523 of the family's 1533-position model. The record is from RNAcentral.
AGCGAACGCUGGCGGCAGGCUUAACACAUGCAAGUCGAACGGUCCUUCGGGAUAGUGGCGGACGGGUGAGUAACACGUGGGAACGUACCCUUAGGUUCGGAACAACACAGGGAAACUUGUGCUAAUACCGGAUAAGCCCUUCAGGGGAAAGAUUUAUCGCCUUUGGAGCGGCCCGCGUCUGAUUAGCUUGUUGGUGAGGUAAUGGCUCACCAAGGCUACGAUCAGUAGCUGGUCUGAGAGGAUGGCCAGCCACACUGGGACUGAGACACGGCCCAGACUCCUACGGGAGGCAGCAGUGGGGAAUCUUGCGCAAUGGGCGAAAGCCUGGCGCAGCCAUGCCGCGUGGAUGAUGAAGGUCUUAGGAUUGUAAAAUCCUUUCACCGGGGACGAUAAUGACGGUACCCGGAGAAGAAGCCCCGGCUAACUUCGUGCCAGCAGCCGCCGCCG